Long non-coding RNA from Macadamia integrifolia, 1495 nucleotides. RefSeq lists it as uncharacterized. The record is from RefSeq and is a predicted model, not a curated record. NCBI's taxonomy places the organism in Eukaryota, Viridiplantae, Streptophyta, Magnoliopsida, Proteales, Proteaceae. The transcript is spliced from 2 exons.
CUCUUUCUCCUCCUCUCUUCUCUUCUCUUCUUUCUCUUCUCUCACAAGUUGAGGGGAAUGUUGUCUGGUUCGAAACCAUUCAUUUGAAGCACAUAAGCAUCAAACUGAAUGAUUUCGGACCAGGCUUCAUUCCCCCCAACUCGAAAGACUUAAUUGUUGUCGGGGGUACAAUGUCUUGUAUUCCGUUGCUUGCAUUAGUGGGCUGAUUCGAGCAUUUGAUCACUGAUCACUGCGUCAUCAUCGACUUCCUGAAUCAAGUGUUCAAUUAUGUAAUUGCAGAUGUAGACAAAAAGAGAGUGUAGAGUGUGAACAUAAAGACUGUAAAAUGGAGGUUUGAUUUAUUCUUUUCUAUCUUUUCAGGUGCUUGUUUAUUUGUUGGGAAUUGGAGUUGGUCUUACCAUUUGAGCUUUGCUUGCAGAGAGUUGCAAAGAAUAUAACUGAGGAGCUUUCACUUUAUUGCUACAUAAGAGGAGAGAAUCGUAACUGUAGCCAUUAAAGAGGAACUUUGAAUUCACCCCUUUAAUUUCUUUUCCUUAAGACUGCAAUGAUAACAUCUCCGUAGUCCAUAUACCAAACUUUUUGCUUCGAUGUAUAUCAGCUGCAACCCAUGUGUAUCAGAUGCAACCCAUGUGGGUCAGAUCCACAUGAUCGUCGACACACCGAGGAUCGAGCACUGUUACUACUCAGUAUAAAUACAUGAAAGAAGGGCAUACCCAAUGCACAAGGCUCCCACCAGUGGGGGGUCGGGGAGGAUCAUAAUGUGCGCAGCCUUACCCUCCUAAUUCUAACCCGUGAUCAUUAGGUUGCAAUGGAGCGAAGCAACCUUAUUAUUGCGCCAAGGUCCGCCCCUCUACAGGAGAAAUACAUGAGAUGGAGAAAAUAUCCACUUCUGUAGAUGGUCCGUGUAUUAUUGCCAAUCUAUUUGGAAUUAGUAGUUGAAAGUUAGGCUGAGAAAAAAUGGGAACAAUGUACUUGUUGGGUUUGAUAUGACUUGGAAAGAUGGGAGAAGAAAAUUAGAAAGAUCUAAGAACAAAAAAGGAGGGUCACCAAAUAGACCCCCCCUUUGUCUGAUUGCUUGUUAAUUACCUAAAUUGUGUUAACUUUUCCUUGCAUCAAGCUGGUAUAUAUAAUGGUCAUAGGGUUAGGGGGUUAGGUUAGCCUAGUGAAAAGAUGAGAAGCAUGUGAGUUUGUGCUUGACAGCAAGAGAGCCUUACAUUGGAAACUUUUUCUUAUUGUUCAAUGUUCAUAGUUCAUGCCUUAUUUUUCUUCUUGUGAUUAUUAAUUUCUUUUCAACAUCUCUUACUUGUUAGCUGUGUGCUUCCAUAUGGAUAUCUUGUUGACUUGUUAAUAUGGAGACCUUAGGAUUCUAGAGCUUUAGCUAUUCAGCCUAUAUGUGUUUCUAUUUCUUUGUUGGUCUGCUCCCUGGUCUUUGUUGUAGGUUGCUUUGUUCUGUUUUUCUUCCUUGCUUUAAUAAAGCAGCAUUAUUCAUUAAAUA